This 642-nucleotide long non-coding RNA is filed under the name Malus domestica (apple). RNAcentral's name for it is "long non-coding RNA (MDOM_LNC014884)". Lineage: Eukaryota; Viridiplantae; Streptophyta; Magnoliopsida; Rosales; Rosaceae. The record is from RNAcentral.
ACAAUUACUGCAAUAGCUAUUCACUUGUCAUGUCAAUUGUCAUGUGUCCCUAUGUGGGAUUAGUCUAGUAACCUAUAGUUGAAUAUUGACUUGUGUGCUUAAACAUGUUUUGAAACCACCAUACACAACUUAUAUGGAGCAAUCACAAUUAUAAUUAUAACUAUAUAUAUAUGCUUUGAACAAUUUUCUGAAAAGUAACACUACACUUAUUACACUUAUUAUCUAUUUGUAUCAUCUCUCUAAUACAGGUAGGACUCACCCAUACAUGUGAGUUGUAUCUUUAUUAGAGAAAGAUGGUACAAAUAUAUAGUAAGAGUAAUAUUUUUGUUUUUUGGAUGGAUAAUUUGGGCAUAUAAAUUUUGUCAACAUAUGAUGUUUCUUCUCUCUCUAUUAUUAGGAACAUAUAAAUAUGCUUAUCUUUGGCUUCGUACACUUUCAAUUUUCCUUUUUCCUUUACUGACAAAAAAAGAAGGGUUAAACUAUGUUUACUACUCUCAUUUCGUGAUUUUCAACAUUUAGUACAUCAAGUUUUUUUCAUCCCAGAGUCAUACCUAAAGUGUUAAUUUUGGGACAGUCUCAUACAUCCGUUAGUCAAACUGUUAGUUCUCCCGUUAAGUGAUGACGUGACGCCCAGAUGGACAA